GUGCCAGCAGCCGCGGUAAUACGUAGGGUGCAAGCGUUAUUCGGAAUUAUUGGGCGUAAAGCGCAUGUAGGUGGCUUCGUAAGUCUGAUGUGAAAUCCCUGGACUCAAUUCAGGAACUGCAUUGGAUACUGCGAGGCUAGAGUAGAGGAGGGGUAGGCGGAAUUCCAGGUGUAGAGGUGAAAUUCGUAGAUAUCUGGAGGAACAACAGUGGCGAAGGCGGCUUACUGGACUCUAACUGACACUGAGAUGCGAAAGUGUGGGGAGCAAACAGGAUUAGAUACCCUCGUAGUCC
This 292-nucleotide ribosomal RNA is filed under the name uncultured bacterium. Its description in RNAcentral is "partial 16S ribosomal RNA". It matches the Rfam family "Bacterial small subunit ribosomal RNA", at positions 505 to 796 of the family's 1533-position model. The record is from RNAcentral.